AUCCAGGCUACGGUACCUCUGUAUUAGAUGGACAGCAUUUCUGCCUAACUGCUGGACUUGUUAUUUGACUCCAGUUAGCUACUCAGUCUUUCCCCACCCCUACCCCUUCCCUGUCAGCUCACCCACACAGGCUUCCUCUAAACAUAAUGAGCUGCCAGGGACGGACAGGGGAGGGGGAGAGAGAACGUAAUUGCUUCCUUUACACAGCUUGUAGGCAGGCAGACAGUUUAGGCAGAGAGACACAGAAGAACACUUGGAGAGAUUGAGAGGAGGCACAACAUUUAAAAAAGAGAGAAGUAAGAUAAAAGGGAAACAAAUCACCAACAGCGCAAAAUAAAAUGGAUCCCAACAAGAUGCCAAAUGCCCCACCACCAGGCUGGAACCCAGAUGAGAAGUCUGGGAUGGGACAACCAGCUCCUCCACCCUACCAGGACCACCCCCAGUACCCCAACACAGGAUACCCUGUACCAGCAGGCUACCCCGCCAAUCCCCAGGGAUACGCACCACCGCCCCAGUAUGGAGGAGCUCCUGGGGCCCCUUACGGCCAGCCAUACCCCCAGGGAGAGUACACCCAGUCCACCGUCACAGUCCAGCCUACGGUGUUUGUGACCCGUGGAGCUCUGCCUUACCCUCUGCCAGACUACCUGGGCUACUCCAUUUUCACCAUGCUGUGCUGCUGCCUGCCACUUGGCAUCGCUGCACUUAUCUACUCCAUCUCGCUGGGGAGAGGGACAUGUUUGUGAUAGUUUUGCCCUUACACU
This 761-nucleotide long non-coding RNA is filed under the name Oncorhynchus kisutch (coho salmon). RNAcentral's name for it is "lncRNA (ENSOKIG00005024769.1)". Lineage: Eukaryota; Metazoa; Chordata; Actinopteri; Salmoniformes; Salmonidae. The record is from RNAcentral.